This is a small nuclear RNA of Hippoglossus stenolepis (Pacific halibut), 184 nucleotides long. RefSeq annotates it as U2 spliceosomal RNA. The record is from RefSeq and is a predicted model, not a curated record. The transcript has a single exon. Lineage: Eukaryota; Metazoa; Chordata; Actinopteri; Pleuronectiformes; Pleuronectidae.
AUCGCCUGGCCUUUUGUGGCUAGAAUCAAGUGUGUGUCUGUUCUUAUCAGUUUAAUGUCUGAUAUUGGCAUGCUCUAUAUGAGGACUACAUAUUAAGCAGAUUUUUGGCAUGAGGCAGAAGUGGGCUUGCUCUUUUUCUCUCCAUCAUUAGCAUUGCAGUGCCGCUGGGAACGGUGCACACUCU